Molecule: ribosomal RNA, 274 nt
Filed under: uncultured bacterium
Lineage: Bacteria
Description: partial 16S ribosomal RNA
Rfam family: Bacterial small subunit ribosomal RNA
Source: RNAcentral
AUACGGGGGGUGCAAGCGUUGUUCGGAAUUACUGGGCGUAAAGCGCGCGUAGGUGGUCUGUUAUGUCAGAUGUGAAAGUCCACGGCUCAACCGUGGAAGUGCAUUUGAAACUGGCAGACUUGAGUACUGGAGGGGGUAGUGGAAUUCCCGGUGUAGAGGUGAAAUUCGUAGAUAUCGGGAGGAAUACCGGUGGCGAAGGCGACUACCUGGCCAGAUACUGACACUGAGGUGCGAAAGCGUGGGGAGCGAACAGGAUUAGAAACCCCGGUAGUCC